UCCGAGUUGUCCCCGGCAGUCCUUUUAGAGUCCCCGGCAUUACCCGCUGGCAACUAAAAGCAGGGGUUGCGCUCGUUGCGGCACUUAAGCCAACACCUCACGGCACGAGCUGACGACAGCCAUGCAGCACCUGUGCUAGCCCCUUACGGACACCGGCUUUCACCGGCUUUAACUAGCAUGUCAAGCCUAGGUAAGGUGGGGAUGACGUUUAGGAGCUCGAC
RNAcentral lists this unclassified non-coding RNA (221 nucleotides) under uncultured Actinomycetes bacterium. RNAcentral's name for it is "uncultured actinobacterium contains 16S-23S intergenic spacer region". Lineage: Bacteria; Bacillati; Actinomycetota; Actinomycetes. The record is from RNAcentral.